CUACGGGGGGCUGCAGUGAGGAAUAUUGGACAAUGGGGGAAACCCUGAUCCAGCAAUGCCGCGUGAAUGAAGAAGGCCUUAGGGUUGUAAAGUUCUUUCACUCGUGAAGAUUAUGACGGUAACGAGAGAAGAAGCCCCGGCUAACUCUGUGCCAGCAGCCGCGGUAAGACAGAGGGGGCUAGCGUUGUUCGGAAUAACUGGGCGUAAAGGGUGCGUAGGCGGUUGUUUAAGUAAAGUGUAAAAGCCCUGGGCUUAACCCAGGAAUCGCAUUUUAAACUGGACAGCUAGAGUGUGGUAGAGGAAAGUGGAAUUCCUAGUGUAGAGGUGAAAUUCGUAGAUAUUAGGAGGAACACCAGAGGCGAAGGCGGCUUUCUGGACCACUACUGACGCUGAGGCACGAAAGCGUGGGGAGCAAACAGGAUUAGAUACCCCGGUAGUC
Molecule: ribosomal RNA, 439 nt
Filed under: uncultured bacterium
Lineage: Bacteria
Description: partial 16S ribosomal RNA
Rfam family: Bacterial small subunit ribosomal RNA
Source: RNAcentral